Molecule: ribosomal RNA, 275 nt
Filed under: uncultured prokaryote
Description: partial 16S ribosomal RNA
Rfam family: Bacterial small subunit ribosomal RNA
Source: RNAcentral
UACGUAGGUGGCGAGCGUUGUCCGGAAUUACUGGGUGUAAAGGGCGUGUAGGCGGGGAAGCAAGUCAGAUGUGAAAUCCCGGGGCUCAACUCCGGAGUUGCAUCUGAAACUGUUUUUCUUGAGUGCUGGAGAGGAAAGCGGAAUUCCUAGUGUAGCGGUGAAAUGCGUAGAUAUUAGGAGGAACACCAGUGGCGAAGGCGGCUUUCUGGACAGUAACUGACGCUGAGGCGCGAAAGCGUGGGGAGCAAACAGGAUUAGAUACCCGCGUAGUCCCU